Danaus plexippus (monarch butterfly) is the source of this 1722-nucleotide long non-coding RNA. RefSeq lists it as uncharacterized. The record is from RefSeq and is a predicted model, not a curated record. The transcript has 2 exons. Lineage: Eukaryota; Metazoa; Arthropoda; Insecta; Lepidoptera; Nymphalidae.
CGCAAGCAGCUUCAAUGACGGAUGCAACAUGGAAAUAACUGGCACCAAUUAUUAUAACACCUUAUUGGUCGUCGUUACUAUUGUUAAAAGUAAAACGAAAUCAAAGAGAAUAGAACUAUGUUUGAAUUCUGGUUUAAAUAUGACGUCUGGACGCACGACAGGGGACUGCAGAGUUCAGCGAGUGCGUAGCAUAAAGAACCUUCGAGAAAUACAAGAACAUUUAGAAGAAUUGAAGUUUCAUUUUAAAAUAUCUGGAACUUACUGAAACAAGUGACAUUAGAGACGCCAGCGAGGCUGGCGUCCUGUCUUUAAAAUAAUGAAUUUGUAAUAAAAUCCGAUAUCAGAAGUGGGAUCGCUCCUGUGAUCAGUUACUGCCGGUCUUAGUGUAUUUGUAAAUCCUGAUCCAGCUCAAGAAAAUAAUCAUCCGGAGAACUUGCGUAAUGAAGAACGCUCCUCAGUCUUUCAUGCAAAUGAUGUCAACAAUGCAGAGCGUGACCGAACGUUUGCUACUAAAAAAAAAACAAGGGAUACGAUUAAAAUUACUAACAAGAUUUUUUUGAUCCCGGUGAUAGUGUGUGUGUUCGGGAUUGAUUCAAACGCAUCUUUACGGCUGUAAAUACGUACCAAAUCAGUAACUUCGACAUUCGAAUUAAAGUCUUUUAAAGGAGCGAGCUAGAAAGUGUGCAGACGAUUGGUUAGUUGCAACAUCUACACAAGGGGCAUUACGUGAGACCAUAGCUAACAUUUGUUAUUAUCCUUUGAGCUAACCUCGUGUCCAUGAUGUAUUCUGAAGAGAACCAUGAGAUUCUGUAGGGAAGGCUUGUGGUACCGUGACAAGACAAUUAUACACCACAGAUCUGGAGAGCGUGACCUCUGAGCUAAUCGCGUGUUACCCUUGAGCUAACCACGGGUCCUUGAUGUAUCCAUAAGAGAACCAUGAGAUUUCGUAGGGAUGCCUUGUGGAGCCGUGAGAAGACAAGUCUACACCACAAAUGUGGAGAGCGUACCUCUGAACUAAUCGCGUGUUACUCUUGAGCCAACCACAGGUCCUUGCUGUAUCCUUAAGAAUACCAUGAGAUGACGUAGGGAGGCCUUGGGAAGACUUGAGUAGAAAGGUACUCACUCGAUCUAUAAGAACUUGCAUGAUUUUAAUAUCAAACUACUGAGAUUAUUGCUUUAUUUAAAAUUGUCAAUAGACAUACUCUUCACAGUAAUAUUUGCAACAUGUCUGGUUAACGGCAGUGCCUCUACAAAAACGAUGCUGUAAUUCAAACGAAAGCAUACUCGACUCCAAAAUCCUGAUCAAAUACAUCUAUUGCGAAUAUAACUAAUUUCUGUUCCUUUUCUGCUAACCGUGGUCAUGCGUUUGAAUCGUGUUUCCGACGGGAAUAAGGAGAUCACGCCGAAUUUUAAUUUAAUACCAACUGUUCCAGGUUUUGAAAUGACUACUGAUAUAUUAACCGGAGCAGAUUUAUUACGUGAUAAGAAUACAUGUGGAAAAUUUAGUAUCCUUGCCGAUGUUUUGCACAUACGAACAAGUCAAUUAUGCUUUGACAGUUUAGAUUACAAUUCAACAAUCAGUCCGUCUAAAUCGAAGUAAUGCACCAACACAUUCAAAACAGGAUGGUCGAGGCGGAGAGAAGAUACAAAGCUAGGUUUUUGAGAGGUCGAGCUACGAUUAAAAGAUUCCAGAAGGGAGAUAUUGUAAUAAUAAAAAUAUAA